AACGAACGCUGGCGGCAUGCCUAACACAUGCAAGUCGAACGGAUUGUAGCAAUACAGUCAGUGGCGAACGGGUGAAUAACGCGUGGGAACCUGCCUUGGAGUUCGGAAUAACCGCGGGAAACUGCGGCUAAUACCGGAUACGACCUGAGGGUGAAAGCAGAAAUGCGCUCCAAGAGGGGCCCGCGUCCGAUUAGCUAGUUGGUGGGGUAACGGCCUACCAAGGCGAUGAUCGGUAGCUGGUCUGAGAGGAUGAUCAGCCACACUGGAACUGAGACACGGUCCAGACUCCUACGGGAGGCAGCAGUGGGGAAUAUUGGACAAUGGGGGAAACCCUGAUCCAGCAAUGCCGCGUGGGUGAUGAAGGCCUUCGGGUUGUAAAGCCCUUUCGGCGGGGACGAUGAUGACGGUACCCGCAGAAGAAGCCCCGGCUAACUUCGUGCCAGCAGCCGCAGUAAUAC
RNAcentral lists this ribosomal RNA (458 nucleotides) under uncultured bacterium. RNAcentral describes it as "bacterial SSU rRNA". It matches the Rfam family "Bacterial small subunit ribosomal RNA", at positions 29 to 526 of the family's 1533-position model. The record is from RNAcentral.